UACGAAGGGGCGUAGCGUUGUUCGGAAUUACUGGGCGUAAAGCGCACGUAGGCGGGUCGUUAAGUCAGGGGUGAAAUCCCGGAGCUCAACUCCGGAACUGCCUUUGAUACUGGCGAUCUUGAGAUCGGAAGAGGUGAGUGGAAUUCCCAGUGUAGAGGUGAAAUUCGUAGAUAUUGGGAAGAACACCAGUGGCGAAGGCGGCUCACUGGUCCGAUACUGACGCUGAGGUGCGAAAGCGUGGGGA
RNAcentral lists this ribosomal RNA (244 nucleotides) under uncultured bacterium. Its description in RNAcentral is "partial 16S ribosomal RNA". It matches the Rfam family "Bacterial small subunit ribosomal RNA", at positions 524 to 767 of the family's 1533-position model. The record is from RNAcentral.